Molecule: ribosomal RNA, 253 nt
Filed under: uncultured bacterium
Lineage: Bacteria
Description: partial 16S ribosomal RNA
Rfam family: Bacterial small subunit ribosomal RNA
Source: RNAcentral
UACGUAGGGUGCGAGCGUUAAUCGGAAUUACUGGGCGUAAAGCGUGCGCAGGCGGCUUUGCAAGACAGAUGUGAAAUCCCCGAGCUCAACUUGGGAACUGCGUUUGGAACUGUCAGACUAGAGUGCGUCAGAGGGGGGUGGAAUUCCACGUGUAGCAGUGAAAUGCGUAGAUAUGCGGAGGAACACCAAUGGCGAAGGCAAUCCCCUGGGCCUGUACUGACGCUCAUGCACGAAAGCGUGGGGAGCAAACAGG